ACUUAUAUAAUAUAAAAAGUAUAAUUAACUUCCAAUUAGUAAGUCUAAAAUUUAGUAUAAGUA
Molecule: transfer RNA, 63 nt
Filed under: Megalodontes cephalotes
Lineage: Eukaryota; Metazoa; Arthropoda; Insecta; Hymenoptera; Megalodontesidae
Description: tRNA-Gly
Source: RNAcentral